This 39-nucleotide ribosomal RNA is filed under the name Saccharomyces cerevisiae (brewer's yeast). RNAcentral describes it as "partial 26S ribosomal RNA". Lineage: Eukaryota; Fungi; Ascomycota; Saccharomycetes; Saccharomycetales; Saccharomycetaceae. The record is from RNAcentral.
GUUUGACCUCAAAUCAGGGUAGGAGUACCCGCUGAACUU